GAAAGACUGAAAGUUACACAAGAAGAAAUCGUUUUACGUAAUUAUGUGUUUUUAUUUUAAAAUCGGAUCGGCGGACUUGGCGGUGUGUCUCAGAACUUGUUGUUUUCAUUUUGUUAGAAAGCUGCUCUUUUCAUGCUGAUCAAGAUCUGGGUCGUAGCGGUCACUUCAAGGCGCAUGCAAGUAAUGUUGCGGUUGCCAUACUGUGCAGUGGAAGAUUACAGAAAAAGGCUUCUGGACUUUUUCUCCCCGCAUUUGGUUCGCGUUGGUCCUGUCUACAGAGAGAAAGUGUGAGUGGACUGACGAGGCUGGUGAGAGAGCCAAGCGAUCUGCGUUUCUUUUUAAUGUCACUCUUUCUAACCUGCCGAAACGCACACGUACACAACACACACACUCUCACUCUUGCAACACACAUGCGUCUGCACUCUAUCCUGCUUGUAUCACUCGGGAACAUGCAUGCAGUUAUACUGCUGGUGCACAGACACACACACGUAUACUUUUUGGCAUGAGAGAAUGUGAUUAGUCUCUAGGCUUGGUUUUGUUUUUUUUUUUUCUUUCUUUCUGGCUUCAGUUCGUGCUUGGCUCCUAAAAACUGUGCAUUGAGAGAGCUUUGGCUUUGAUGUGCAAGAUGUCUUGGGCAGAACAGAAGAUGCGAAGGGAGAAAGAAAGGCAAAUAGCUCAUUAGGAAGUUUGCUAUUUUAUUCAGGAAAAUAUGAAACCGUGUCAAAGUGCUGCGAGGAAACCUCAUGCCACACACGUAUCCUCUUGUAAGGUGAAAUCUAAUAAGUCGAUCAUUAACCCUUGUGAAAUGAUAUUGCCAAGCAACUCUUUGGCAAAUCACUAUUCAAAAUUAGCUCAAUAAUAGGUUCAAGGCUGCUGCGUUAGCUAAUCGCCUUCCUGAUCAAGAGCAGCUGCUCUGAUCAAUCUAACAGUCUGUCCAUGUGAAAACCGCUACCUCCACCUGAGGUGAAUUCCAACAGUCCGUGCCGAGCUGAUUUGACCCAAGGAGCCGGGCUGAUGUGUCGGGGUGAGGGAGGGGUGCACUGGUUCAACUGUUGGUGAAAAUGACCCAGCCACUAACCCACCGGUUGGGUCACAUAAAACCUACCCAAGACUGAGAAAAUAACCCAAAUAAAUGACCCCAAAAAAUUUUAGGGUGCAAGUUGUAGCUGUUGUAACGAGUAAGAAAGUAAAGGUGUAUAAGUAAGUAAAAUUAAACAAGUAAAAAUAAAUAAUAACAGGAAGUAAGACUGUAUAAGUAAGGAAUCAUAAAUAAAUGUGUAAAAGUAAACUAAAGUAAAUCAAUAAUAACCAAGUACAAACAAAAGCAAUAAUCGAUAAGUACUAGCACAAUAAUAACAAAGUAAAAAUGUAUAAGUAAGAGGAAAUAAACAUGUAAAAGUACUGUUAAAAGUAGAAAUUAGCAAUAACAGUAAAAUGACAAAUAAAUAACAGUAGGAAACAGUGUAUGAGUAAGGAAUGAUAAAUAUGUAAAAGUACUGUUAGAAAUGAAUAACAGUAAGUAUAAAAAGGUAUAAUGUAUGUAAAAGUACUGUUAAAAGUAAAAAUAAAUAAGUAAAAUACAUAAGUAGAUGUAAACAAGUAAAAAUAACAGUAAGUAAAAAAAAAAAAAAAA
Long non-coding RNA from Ictalurus punctatus (channel catfish), 1633 nucleotides. RefSeq lists it as uncharacterized. The record is from RefSeq and is a predicted model, not a curated record. NCBI's taxonomy places the organism in Eukaryota, Metazoa, Chordata, Actinopteri, Siluriformes, Ictaluridae. The transcript has 2 exons.